This 325-nucleotide ribosomal RNA is filed under the name uncultured eukaryote. RNAcentral's name for it is "partial 18S ribosomal RNA". It matches the Rfam family "Eukaryotic small subunit ribosomal RNA", at positions 1470 to 1796 of the family's 1831-position model. The record is from RNAcentral.
CCCUUAGAUGUUCUGGGCUGCACGCGCGCUACACUGGUUCGUUCAGCGAGUUUAGCACCUUAACAGAUAUGUUUGGGUAAUCUUCUGAAAACGCACCGUGAUGGGGAUCGAUUAUUGUAAUUAUUAAUCGUCAACGAGGAAUUCCUAGUAAGUGUGAAUCAUCAGUUCGCGCUGAUUACGUCCCUGCCCUUUGUACACACCGCCCGUCGCUGCUACCGAUUGAGUGGUCCGGUGAAUUAUUCGGACCGGUGGACUGUGGGGUAACUCGCGGUCUGCUGGGAAGUCUUGUGAACCUUAUCACUUAGAGGAAGCAGAAGUCGUAACA